CCCCUGACUGCGGGAGAGACUGGUCCAGCGCCAGCGCCGAAGGAGCAACCGCCCCGGAAACUCUCAGGCAUCAAGGACCGCAGUCGGGUC
RNAcentral lists this non-coding RNA (90 nucleotides) under Pelagibacterium sp. Its description in RNAcentral is "Glycine sequence". It matches the Rfam family "Glycine riboswitch aptamer". From Rfam's summary of the family: This family represents the bacterial glycine riboswitch. Lineage: Bacteria; Pseudomonadati; Pseudomonadota; Alphaproteobacteria; Hyphomicrobiales; Devosiaceae. The record is from RNAcentral.